AUUGAACGCUGGCGGAAUGCUUUACACAUGCAAGUCGAACGGCAGCACGGACUUCGGUCUGGUGGCGAGUGGCGAACGGGUGAGUAAUGUAUCGGAACGUGCCCAGUCGUGGGGGAUAACGUAGUGAAAAUUACGCUAAUACCGCAUACGAUCUAUGGGUGAAAGCGGGGGAUCGCAAGACCUCGCGCGAUUGGAGCGGCCGAUAUCAGAUUAGGUAGUUGGUGGGGUAAAGGCCCACCAAGCCAACGAUCUGUAGCUGGUCUGAGAGGACGACCAGCCACACUGGAACUGAGACACGGUCCAGACUCCUAGGGGAGGCGGCAGUGGGGAAUUUUGGACAAUGGGCGAAAGCCUGAUCCAGCCAUUCCGCGUGCAGGAUGAAGGCCCUCGGGUUGUAAACUGCUUUUGUACAGAACGAAAAGGUUUCUACUAAUACUAGGAGCUCAUGACGGUACUGUAAGAAUAAGCACCGGCUAAUUACGUGCCAGCAGCCGCCGUAA
RNAcentral lists this ribosomal RNA (500 nucleotides) under uncultured bacterium. Its description in RNAcentral is "partial 16S ribosomal RNA". It matches the Rfam family "Bacterial small subunit ribosomal RNA", at positions 30 to 523 of the family's 1533-position model. The record is from RNAcentral.